UAACAGGCAUUUCUGAGGUGA
Molecule: microRNA, 21 nt
Filed under: Pteropus alecto (black flying fox)
Lineage: Eukaryota; Metazoa; Chordata; Mammalia; Chiroptera; Pteropodidae
Description: pal-miR-9990-3p
Source: miRBase by way of RNAcentral